This is a long non-coding RNA of Uranotaenia lowii, 394 nucleotides long. RefSeq lists it as uncharacterized. The record is from RefSeq and is a predicted model, not a curated record. The transcript has 2 exons. Lineage: Eukaryota; Metazoa; Arthropoda; Insecta; Diptera; Culicidae.
UAGCACGAACCAUGGUAUCACAUUCAUUUUACAGUGAAUUUUUAUGUGACCAUGUACUUCAUGGUAAAAAGAACGUCCGAGCGUAAUUCAAGAAUUUGCACACUCCGAGUUUUUCGUGUAAGGUUGAUAUUUUGACAGCCGCGCCGCGGCACGUGUUUUUUUUUCACUUCUUCCAUUCUCGGUCGACAAUCGGUUUUCUCGAGGGUUUUUUUUUGUAACUUUUAAGAAGUGUUCGGAAAUGGGCGCAACGCAAUAUAAAACGGACACACAGCGAGUGGCACAGGAUGCAGUAGCCAACGAAUGCCGCGAGCAGCAAUGGGAUGCAGGAUGCAGGAUGCAGGAGUGUGUGAGUAAAGUGUUCAGAUUUUUUUAAUAAAUAGUUAAUUUAAAUAAA